This 88-nucleotide transfer RNA is filed under the name Clostridia bacterium. Its description in RNAcentral is "tRNA-Leu". It matches the Rfam family "tRNA". From Rfam's summary of the family: Transfer RNA (tRNA) molecules are approximately 80 nucleotides in length. Their secondary structure includes four short double-helical elements and three loops (D, anti-codon, and T loops). Lineage: Bacteria; Bacillati; Bacillota; Clostridia. The record is from RNAcentral.
GCUCGAGUGGCGGAAUAGGCAGACGCCCGGGACUUAAAAUCCCGUGGGAGAUAAUCCCGUACCGGUUCGACCCCGGUCUCGAGCACCA